RNAcentral lists this transfer RNA (82 nucleotides) under Danionella translucida. It matches the Rfam family "tRNA". From Rfam's summary of the family: Transfer RNA (tRNA) molecules are approximately 80 nucleotides in length. Their secondary structure includes four short double-helical elements and three loops (D, anti-codon, and T loops). Further hydrogen bonds mediate the characteristic L-shaped molecular structure. tRNAs have two regions of fundamental functional importance: the anti-codon, which is responsible for specific mRNA codon recognition, and the 3' end, to which the tRNAs corresponding amino acid is attached (by aminoacyl-tRNA synthetases). tRNAs cope with the degeneracy of the genetic code in two manners: having more than one tRNA (with a specific anti-codon) for a particular amino acid; and 'wobble' base-pairing, i.e. permitting non-standard base-pairing at the 3rd anti-codon position. Lineage: Eukaryota; Metazoa; Chordata; Actinopteri; Cypriniformes; Danionidae. The record is from Rfam by way of RNAcentral. RNAcentral also lists the same sequence under 1 other name.
GUUGUCGUGGCCGAGUGGUUAAGGUGAUGGACUAGAAAUCCAUUUUGGUUUCUCUGCACACGUUCAAAUCCUGCCAAUAAUG